Miniopterus natalensis is the source of this 378-nucleotide non-coding RNA. The record is from RefSeq and is a predicted model, not a curated record. Lineage: Eukaryota; Metazoa; Chordata; Mammalia; Chiroptera; Miniopteridae.
ACGAGAAUCCACCAAUGUCUCUCUCUUUCUCUCUCAAAAAAUCAUAAGUAAAAUAAAUAAAGAGGCGUGGAAAUGGGAGCCAACUGUAGAGGCACAAGGACUCGAACCGAGGGAUCGAGCCAUGUGCCCUGACCAGAAACUGAACCUCCCUCUCCUGCUCAACCGCUGAGCCUUGCCAGCCAGGCAGAUAAUGAAUUCUUAACAGGACAAGUCACGCCAACAGCCUACGAGAACCUGGGCUCCUCAGUCCUCAAGGAGCAGAAUCCUACCAACAGCCUUGCAAGUAAGCUUGGAGAUGGACCUUCUGAAGCCUGCAGACAGCCAUAGCUGUGAGCUUGGAAGUGGAUUCCCCCAGUCAAGCCUUCGAAUGCCUGCAGC